GUCAGGCGUCAGUGAGUGAGACUGGGUGACCAAAGUGAGCAGGAGCAGCUUACACCUCUCACUAUAUGGUAUAUCAUCACCCUGGCACACAUUCACGUAGAGACACCGUAUAAUCGAGAAAUUCCACACGAGAGAUUAUCAUCCAUGACUAAACCACUACGUAUAAUUAAGGUGUGCGGCGAGUACGUGAUGAGUUUGUGGCGAGUACUGGCGAGUAUCUGGCUAGUGUGCGGCGAGUACGUGAAUGAUUGAUGGGCCUAGGAGAUGGAGCACUGCUGAAAGAGGAAGGUUAUUCAGUGGUGGCUGUGGCAUAUGGGGGCCUGUGUCCGGGAGUUGUUGAAAUUGUGACACAUCCAAAAGUGAGCUCUUACCAUUGUAAUCUACAGUGAGAUGUAAUGUACUGUGCUGUACUGUACUGCUGAGGACUGAGAGUAACACUGUAAGUCGUGUCUGGUCGACUGACGGAGUGGAUCUGUCUCCUCGGAAGUUGGAACGACGGUAUUUCGACGAUGAAUGGACUAUAGCCUUGGAACGAACGACCGUCUAUUGGUGCAGAGUUUAGAGAGUUUCGUCGGAGAUGCGUCUUUGAUAAUCUGCCCCAACACUAUACUGAAUGGCUUCAAUAGAAGAGAAGGUGAAGUGUGUCCUUUGGUUAACUGAGUCAAAGUCUGUAACAGCGGUUAGAAGAAAAUUUACGACUCAUUACAAGAAGGAAGCGCCGCACAGAAAUUCAAUUACAAGAUGGAUGAAGUUUAAGGGACUGGUUCUGUUAAUGACAAGCCACAAACUGGAAGACUGGGAAUAAACCAGGAAACUGUGGAGUCUGUAGAGCAAACUUUUCUGAAUAGUCCAUGUUAAAACAGUAGUUUACUCAUUAAAAGCUCAUUUUUUUAAUGAUCUUCGUGCUAGAAAAUCUGAUGUGAUCAGUACCAUAACUGAAACACAACUGCAGAACGUUUUUGUGGAUAUUCAAACUCGUACUAUGCUUUGUAUCCGUAAUGAUGGUGGAAAAGUUCAAACCUAGCAAUCCUACGAUUAAAGGUGAUAAAACUUAAAUAAAAUAUCUCCAAUA
Molecule: long non-coding RNA, 1072 nt
Organism: Homarus americanus (American lobster)
Lineage: Eukaryota; Metazoa; Arthropoda; Malacostraca; Decapoda; Nephropidae
Exons: 6
Source: RefSeq, a predicted model, not a curated record